RNAcentral lists this transfer RNA (72 nucleotides) under Marmota monax (woodchuck). RNAcentral describes it as "tRNA.Val". The stretch from base 6 to 67 matches the Rfam family "tRNA", at positions 6 to 65 of the family's 71-position model. Rfam says of the family: Transfer RNA (tRNA) molecules are approximately 80 nucleotides in length. Lineage: Eukaryota; Metazoa; Chordata; Mammalia; Rodentia; Sciuridae. The record is from RNAcentral.
GCGCAUAUAGCUCAGUUGGUAGAGUGUUUGCUUCACAUGCAAAAGGCCCUGGAUUCAAUCCUCAGUACCACA